RNAcentral lists this ribosomal RNA (404 nucleotides) under Monodelphis domestica (gray short-tailed opossum). Its description in RNAcentral is "partial 16S ribosomal RNA". It matches the Rfam family "Bacterial large subunit ribosomal RNA", at positions 1916 to 2493 of the family's 2925-position model. The record is from RNAcentral. Lineage: Eukaryota; Metazoa; Chordata; Mammalia; Didelphimorphia; Didelphidae.
AAUUAAUUUUAACGGCCGCGGUAUCCUGACCGUGCAAAGGUAGCAUAAUCACUUGUCUCCUAAAUAGAGACUUGUAUGAAUGGCAAAACGAGGGUUUAACUGUCUCUUUUUCUCAAUCAAUGAAAUUGACCUACCCGUGCAGAGGCGGGUAUAACUUUAUAAGACGAGAAGACCCUGUGGAGCUUAAAAUUACAACUUAAAUUAAUUUAUAUUAUACCCUAAGGGAUUAAUCUUACAAAACUUUUUUUAAGCUGAAUUUUUGGUUGGGGUGACCUCGGAGCACAAGCAACCCUCCGAAUGACAUAACUAAGACUAACAUAUCUAAGUGCAACCUAAGCCAGUAAUUGACCCAAAACUUGAUCAACGGAACAAGUUACCCCAGGGAUAACAGCGCAAUCCUAUUU